Molecule: ribosomal RNA, 354 nt
Filed under: uncultured bacterium
Lineage: Bacteria
Description: bacterial SSU rRNA
Rfam family: Bacterial small subunit ribosomal RNA
Source: RNAcentral
UGGGUUUGACAUCCUUUGACAGUCCCGGAAACGGGAUCUUUCCGACUUUGUCGGAACAGAGUGACAGGUGCUGCAUGGCUGUCGUCAGCUCGUGUCGUGAGAUGUUGGGUUAAGUCCCGCAACGAGCGUAACCCUUGUCUUUAGUUGCCAGUAUUUAGUUAGGCACUCUAAAGAGACUGCCUCGGUUAACGGGGAGGAAGGUGGGGAUGACGUCAAGUCCUCAUGGCCUUUAUACCCAGGGCUACACACGUGCUACAAUGGGCUGUACAAAGGGUAGCUAAUUCGCGAGGAAGCGCUAAUCCCAAAAAGCAGCUCUCAGUUCGGAUUGGAGUCUGCAACUCGACUCCAUGAAGG